This 1278-nucleotide long non-coding RNA is filed under the name Marmota monax (woodchuck). The record is from RNAcentral. Lineage: Eukaryota; Metazoa; Chordata; Mammalia; Rodentia; Sciuridae.
GUUUGGUUUUGUUUAUUUCAGGAUGGAUCUGAUAAUUCUGGUCUCAAUUUAAAUAAUCUUUAGGGCAUCCAUUUUAUUUAUAUAUAUAUAUAUACAUAUAUAUAUAUAUAUAUAUAUAUAUAUAUGCACAUACAUGCUCUAUUUUAUAUAUAGGAUGUAUAUUACACCCUAUUUUAAAAUUGGCAUGGUGACAGAAUUGGCCACUUUAUACAAAAUGCCUCUGUCUGCAUUUUAAUAAAGAUAAUAAUGUGAUCAAUGAAACAGAAGUGAUCUUUGGAAAAAAACAUUUCUACAUGGUACUUCCAGGGUGUGAGAUAGAGCUUUGGCAGAAGAGCGGCUGCCCUGCAAGUUAAACCAGGUACAACAGAGCACAUCCCACCUGGGUAAUUAGACUGACAACAAGGCCCAUCUCAAGAUGCCUUUGGUCCUGCUUGAGUUUAGGCUGUUCCUGGAGAGGAAGCUGUGGUGCUUGCUGGGACCUUAGGGUAUCUGGGAACCCUGGAGUAGCCAGAUAUGCAAUGCUCAUUUUACAGAUGUUAGAUUCCCUGAGAAUGAUGGCCGUGUACGGCUUCUGCUUUUGCUAGUUCUGGACUGGGAGCCCAAAGCCUCCAAGAGGAAAAUUUCAGCCAGAAGUGGGAGUGUUUUACAACUGAAGUAUCAACCAUAGCUAUGCUUCACUCAGUGGGAAAAACAGUGCAUGGGUGCUGGGAAGGAAGAGAGGGGAGCUCCUCCUCAGUACUGCUCUGGCCAGUAAGCUGUCGUAGUCUCCUCCCUCACCAUUGCUAUAAAGUGGUGACGGCAUGGGAAUAGAAUUAAUAAUGGCUUUGACACUUGACUCAAUGCAGCUGAACUUAGGAAGCAGAGACAUGAUUUUUUUUUCUUUUUUUAAAAAUAUUAACUUUUUAGUUGUAGUUGGACCCAGUACCUUUAUUUUCUUUAUUUUUAUGUGGUGCUGAGGAUUGAACCCAGGGCCUCGCAUGUGCUAGGCGAGCGUUUCUACCGCUGAUCCACAACCCCAGCCCGAGACAGGUUUCUUAAGGAAAUUUUUUUCCCUUUGUUUUUCCUCCCAAUGCAGGAGUGGUCAAUGGUCAGCAGAUGCUUUAUGCUCUAUAUGAGCACCAUAAGUGGUCCUGAAAGUGUUCAGUGGGCCAAUAUUGGCUUGGUUGUGUAUAACAGAAGACAUCAGGUUGCAGUGACUUGAGUUGGUUUAUUUCUCAAGUGGAAUCAGAGGUCAUUGGUCCAAGGCUCAUAUGAUGGUUCAGAGACCCGAGUUCUUUC